AACAAGGCGUACCUGCGGACCUGCGGAAGGAUCAUUAACGAGUGUAUCCUACCCUUUUAAAAAAUGGGUGGUACCUCCCGUCCUUUGCGGGCCCCCUUCUUUUAUUAAGGGGGGGGCUUUUAAGACUUUCUGCUUCGGCGGGGUUAUUCCCGCCGGAACACCUUCAAAAAACUCUUGAUCAAAAAACUGUUCAGUCCGAGAAUUUUUGAAAAUUAAAACAAAACUUUCAACAACGGAUCU
This 240-nucleotide unclassified non-coding RNA is filed under the name soil metagenome. RNAcentral's name for it is "partial contains 5.8S ribosomal RNA, internal transcribed spacer 2, and large subunit ribosomal RNA". The record is from RNAcentral.